Molecule: ribosomal RNA, 274 nt
Filed under: uncultured bacterium
Lineage: Bacteria
Description: partial 16S ribosomal RNA
Rfam family: Bacterial small subunit ribosomal RNA
Source: RNAcentral
AGACAGAGGGUGCAAGCGUUGUUCGGAAUUAUUGGGCGUAAAGCGCGCGUAGGCGGUUUGGUAAGUCAGAUGUGAAAGCCCGGGACUCAACCCCGGAAGUGCAUCUGAAACUGCUGGACUUGAAUCUCGGAGAGGGUGGUGGAAUUCCUGGUGUAGAGGUGAAAUUCGUAGAUAUCAGGAGGAACACCGGUGGCGAAGGCGACUUCCUGGACCAAUACUGACACUGAGGUGCGAAAGCGUGGGGAGCAAACAGGAUUAGAAACCCCUGUAGUCC